AGGGAAUUUCCUGUGAGCUCGGCUUCCUCAACAUGGCAGCGCCCUUGUCAGUGGAGGUGGAGUUCGGAGGCGGCGCGGAACUCCUUUUCGACGGCGUAAAGAAACAUCAGGUCACCUUACCUGGACAGGAGGAGCCCUGGGACAUCCGGAACCUCCUUGUCUGGAUCAAGAAGAAUUUGCUAAAAGAGCGGCCAGAGUUGUUCAUCCAGGGAGACAGCGUACUCAGUGUCCCCUCCACUUCCUGGGUGAUUUUUCAUCGGAACCUCAGGAGGACAAGCUCCCACUACCCUGUCCUCCAGCCCACGUGUCUCAGCCUCUCUGCCCCUGCUGCCGACUGCCUCCUGCCCUUCACUCCUGGCUCCUCACGCCCUCUUUCCCACAGGCGGCCAGGAAUUCUGGUGCUGGUUAACGAUGCGGACUGGGAACUGCUGGGCGAGCUGGACUACCAGCUGCAGGACCGGGACAGCAUCCUCUUCAUAUCCACGCUGCAUGGCGGCUGAGGGCCCCGCUCUGGGCUCGGGUUCCCUUGGCGUGGGGAGAAGAGCACAAUCAGACAUCCCCUGGGACCCUGCUUCCAGGCCACCAGAUGGGCUCCUAAGACCCUCCCCCGGCAAAAGGCUGCCUGCAGCUCAUUCUGGAGAGAGAGAAAGAGGAGCCAGCAAAAGCUUGGACUGGCACAUAGAGGCCUGGGAUGUCAGAGUGCCUCAGUUUCCUCCUCAACAGCAACUGAAUAUUUAUAAGUAUCUGAAAGUAGGCGUGAUCCUUGAUGGCACAAAUGUAGACUUUAUCUCCUAUCCCACCUCCUGCAGGAAGCAGGAUGGGGGCAGGCCAGCACCUGGUAGGCAGGAUGGUUUGCCCCUCCUCCCUUCAUCCCUUCUGGAAGUCUUGGGGCCUCAUUGCCUGCAACAGCUGGCCUUGGGCAAAUAAAAGACUAGGUUGUUUACUAGCUUUGCCUGGAGCUUCAUCCUUAGAAACCAGUGGCACUCCACAUCCCCCCAGCCAUGGUCCCUGGUCCAACCUCUCUGCCCUUAGCCUGGGACUUUCAGAGCUGCCCUUCACCCAAAAAGAGGGCAGGGGUUCAAACCCAGACUACACAGACUGUCUGGGAGAGAGUGGUCUGAUAGGGCCAUCUGGAGAAGGGGAUGGCAGAGCCUGUCUGUGCUGACCAGUCUGGGUCCCAGGACACUUCUCUUCUUGUCCAAGGCCAGGCUUUGUCCCACCAGCUGCAGCCCACAGCCCCAGAAACCAGAAUGGGGUGUCAUAUCAAACUGCUGAACCUCCCUUCCCAUGACCUGGAGAAGAAGCUUCGCUGGGGGAAAACCUCAAAAAAAAGGGGGGGGGCAUUAACAUCAUCCCACCCAAAACAUUGUUUUUCAUUAAAUGUCAAUAAUUUAAGGUAGAACCUCUCUCCUGUGGAGAUGAAAGUGCCAAAUGGUUGUCUCAGCAGUGUUGGGGAUGGAGGGGAUGUAUAUGCACAUCAUUCUCAAUGCCUAGAGGACACACGACCCCUGGCUUCUGGGCUUCUCUCCAGCAAUCUACGGGUAGAGACUCUCUGGGUAUGUGUAGGUGGGGGCCAGCCAUGUUGGGGUUAUGGGUAGUGGGUAUGGUCUGAGUGCAAAUUAAGGCCAGUGUUGGGGUCCAGCUGCUGUCUAGAAAGGCUGUUACAACCAACGAGAACUAGGUGCUGAGGUUAGGGUCUCCAUGUUAGGGAACAGAGCAAGGGAUUUGAAAUGGCCCCCUACAGUCUCAUUGAUUCCUGUAUCCUGGAGGUUCCUCCUUGCCUCCAGCCCCACUGGAGUGGCCCAUUGUCCCACCUGGGAUUCCAAGUCCUGGAAACCAGACGAUAGAAUUCCUUUCCCGCCUGCACUGGGAAGAGGGAGAGUAGAUUCGGGAUACCCCUUCUGCCAGGACACCCCGAUUAAUGCUGAGGAGUAGGGCAGGAGGAUAUACUGAGAAAACCAGGUUCUCCCGGGUGGGGGGAUGCCAGCACCAUCGCUAAACUGGCCCAAGCCCCGCUCCGCAGCAUUUUGGGUCAUUUUCAGUCCCUAGCGGAACGGGGGUCAGAUACAGGUGACCUGGGCUCAGCCCCAGCAACGCCCAGCUGCCCCCCCACAACUCCUGAACCCCCACUUUUGAGGAAAUAAACGAAUAAGUAAACCCUA
Molecule: non-coding RNA, 2162 nt
Organism: Callorhinus ursinus (northern fur seal)
Lineage: Eukaryota; Metazoa; Chordata; Mammalia; Carnivora; Otariidae
Source: RefSeq, a predicted model, not a curated record